Molecule: ribosomal RNA, 505 nt
Filed under: uncultured bacterium
Lineage: Bacteria
Description: partial 16S ribosomal RNA
Rfam family: Bacterial small subunit ribosomal RNA
Source: RNAcentral
GACGAACGCUGGCGGCGUGCCUAAUACAUGCAAGUAGGACGCAAGGAAACACACUGUGCUUGCACACCGUGUUUUCUUGAGUCGCGAACGGGUGAGUAACGCGUAGGUAACCUGCCUAUUAGCGGGGGAUAACUAUUGGAAACGAUAGCUAAUACCGCAUAAUAUUAAUUAUUGCAUGAUAAUUGAUUGAAAGAUGCAAGCGCAUCACUAGUAGAUGGACCUGCGUUGUAUUAGCUAGUUGGUAAGGUAAGAGCUUACCAAGGCGACGAUACAUAGCCGACCUGAGAGGGUGAUCGGCCACACUGGGACUGAGACACGGCCCAGACUCCUACGGGAGGCAGCAGUAGGGAAUCUUCGGCAAUGGACGAAAGUCUGACCGAGCAACGCCGCGUGAGUGAAGAAGGUUUUCGGAUCGUAAAGCUCUGUUGUAAGUCAAGAACGUGUGUGAGAGUGGAAAGUUCACACAGUGACGGUAGCUUACCAGAAAGGGACGGCUAACUACGUG